RNAcentral lists this ribosomal RNA (1148 nucleotides) under uncultured Prochlorococcus sp. RNAcentral's name for it is "bacterial SSU rRNA". It matches the Rfam family "Bacterial small subunit ribosomal RNA", at positions 122 to 1303 of the family's 1533-position model. The record is from RNAcentral. Lineage: Bacteria; Bacillati; Cyanobacteriota; Cyanophyceae; Synechococcales; Prochlorococcaceae.
GAAUCUGCCCUCAGGAGGGGGACAACAGCUGGAAACGGCUGCUAAUACCCCAUAUGCCGCGAGGUGAAAUGAAUUUCGCCUGAGGAUGAGCUCGCGUCUGAUUAGCUAGUUGGUGUAGGUAAUGGCUCACCAAGGCAUCGAUCAGUAGCUGGUCUGAGAGGAUGAUCAGCCACACUGGGACUGAGACACGGCCCAGACUCCUACGGGAGGCAGCAGUGGGGAAUUUUCCGCAAUGGGCGAAAGCCUGACGGAGCAACGCCGCGUGAGGGAUGAAGGCCUCUGGGCUGUAAACCUCUUUUAUCAAGGAAGAAGAUCUGACGGUACUUGAUGAAUAAGCCACGGCUAAUUCCGUGCCAGCAGCCGCGGUAAUACGGGAGUGGCAAGCGUUAUCCGGAAUUAUUGGGCGUAAAGCGUCCGCAGGCGGCCCUUCAAGUCUGCUGUUAAAACGUGGAGCUUAACUCCAUCAUGGCAGUGGAAACUGUUGGGCUUGAGUGUGGUAGGGGCAGAGGGAAUUCCCGGUGUAGCGGUGAAAUGCGUAGAUAUCGGGAAGAACACCAGUGGCGAAGGCGCUCUGCUGGGCCAUUACUGACGCUCAUGGACGAAAGCCAGGGGAGCGAAAGGGAUUAGAUACCCCUGUAGUCCUGGCCGUAAACGAUGAACACUAGGUGUCGGGGGAAUCGACCCCUUCGGUGUCGUAGCUAACGCGUUAAGUGUUCCGCCUGGGGAGUACGCACGCAAGUGUGAAACUCAAAGGAAUUGACGGGGGCCCGCACAAGCGGUGGAGUAUGUGGUUUAAUUCGAUGCAACGCGAAGAACCUUACCAGGGUUUGACAUCCUGCGAACCUCUUAGAAAUUUGAGGGUGCCUUCGGGAAUGCAGUGACAGGUGGUGCAUGGCUGUUGUCAGCUCGUGUCGUGAGAUGUUGGGUUAAGUCCCGCAACGAGCGCAACCCACGUUUUUAGUUGCCAGCAUUUAGUUGGGCACUCUAGAAAGACCGCCGGUGAUAAACCGGAGGAAGGUGUGGAUGACGUCAAGUCAUCAUGCCCCUUACACCCUGGGCUACACACGUACUACAAUGCUACGGACAAAGGGCAGCAAACUCGCGAGAGCUAGCAAAUCCCAUAAACCGUGGCUCAGUUCAGAUCGUAG